RNAcentral lists this ribosomal RNA (299 nucleotides) under uncultured bacterium. RNAcentral describes it as "partial 16S ribosomal RNA". It matches the Rfam family "Bacterial small subunit ribosomal RNA", at positions 28 to 316 of the family's 1533-position model. The record is from RNAcentral.
GAUGAACGCUAGCGGCAGGCUUAAUACAUGCAAGUCGUGGGGCAGCAUGAGUGUAGCAAUACAUUUGAUGGCGACCGGCAAACGGGUGCGGAACACGUACACAACCUUCCUUCAAGUGGGGAAUAGCCCAGGGAAACUUGGAUUAAUACCCCGUAAUAUUAUGGAGUGGCAUCACUUUAUAAUUAUAGCUCCGGCGCUUGAUGAUGGGUGGUGCGCCUGANAGGUUAGGUUGGCGGGGUAACGGGCCCACCCAAGCCUUCGAUCAGUAACUGGUGUGAGAGCACGACCAGUCACACGGG